CCAUAUCUGAACCUUCGGGGAACGAUAACGGCGUCGAGCGGCGGACGGGUGAGUAAUGCCUAGGAAAUUGCCCUGAUGUGGGGGAUAACCAUUGGAAACGAUGGCUAAUACCGCAUGAUGCCUACGGGCCAAAGAGGGGGACCUUCGGGCCUCUCGCGUCAGGAUAUGCCUAGGUGGGAUUAGCUAGUUGGUGAGGUAAGGGCUCACCAAGGCGACGAUCCCUAGCUGGUCUGAGAGGAUGAUCAGCCACACUGGAACUGAGACACGGUCCAGACUCCUACGGGAGGCAGCAGUGGGGAAUAUUGCACAAUGGGCGCAAGCCUGAUGCAGCCAUGCCGCGUGUAUGAAGAAGGCCUUCGGGUUGUAAAGUACUUUCAGUCGUGAGGAAGGCGGUGUCGUUAAUAGCUGCAUUGUUUGACGUUAGCGACAGAAGAAGCACCGGCUAACUCCGUGCCAGCAGCCGCGGUAAUACGGAGGGUGCGAGCGUUAAUCGGAAUUACUGGGCGUAAAGCGCAUGCAGGUGGUUUGUUAAGUCAGAUGUGAAAGCCCGGGGCUCAACCUCGGAAUAGCAUUUGAAACUGGCAGACUAGAGUACUGUAGAGGGGGGUAGAAUUUCAGGUGUAGCGGUGAAAUGCGUAGAGAUCUGAAGGAAUACCGGUGGCGAAGGCGGCCCCCUGGACAGAUACUGACACUCAGAUGCGAAAGCGUGGGGAGCAAACAGGAUUAGAUACCCUGGUAGUCCACGCCGUAAACGAUGUCUACUUGGAGGUUGUGGCCUUGAGCCGUGGGCUUUCGGAGCUAACGCGUUAAGUAGACCGCCUGGGGAGUACGGUCGCAAGAUUAAAACUCAAAUGAAUUGACGGGGCCCGCACAAGCGGUGGAGCAUGUGGUUUAAUUCGAUGCAACGCGAGAACCUUACCUACUCUUGACAUCCAGAGAACUUUCCAGAGAUGGAUUGUG
This 960-nucleotide ribosomal RNA is filed under the name Vibrio alginolyticus. Its description in RNAcentral is "bacterial SSU rRNA". It matches the Rfam family "Bacterial small subunit ribosomal RNA", at positions 69 to 1015 of the family's 1533-position model. Lineage: Bacteria; Pseudomonadati; Pseudomonadota; Gammaproteobacteria; Vibrionales; Vibrionaceae. The record is from RNAcentral.